CAGCUGGUGGCGCCUGGGAGACGCUUGGUGCAGCCUGGGGCAUCCCUGAAACUCUCCUGCAUGACUUCAGGAUUCACUGUCAGAAGCUGUGCCAUAAGCUGGAUCCAAAGGCUCCAGGGAAGGGGCUAGAGUGGAUCUCAUACAUAGGUCCUGAACCAACCCACAUUGAAGUACCCA
This 177-nucleotide long non-coding RNA is filed under the name Cavia porcellus (domestic guinea pig). Its description in RNAcentral is "lncRNA (ENSCPOG00000030028.1)". The record is from RNAcentral. Lineage: Eukaryota; Metazoa; Chordata; Mammalia; Rodentia; Caviidae.